Long non-coding RNA from Mastomys coucha (southern multimammate mouse), 2988 nucleotides. RefSeq lists it as uncharacterized. NCBI's taxonomy places the organism in Eukaryota, Metazoa, Chordata, Mammalia, Rodentia, Muridae. The transcript has 2 exons. The record is from RefSeq and is a predicted model, not a curated record.
UGGCCAAGGCCGCCCUCCUCCACUUCCCCAGAAGCCCCAGGUCUCUCCCGAUUACGCUCGCUCGCAAGGUGCAGGAAAAGCAAUCUGAGUCGCCGAGCGUCCCAGCACCGGCAGCGCGCCGCCGGGGGGCCCCGCGCCUCCGGUCCCCGCGCGCACCCGCUCGCCCGCUCGCUCCGAGCGCUCGCCGCAACUUUCCACUGCGCCUCCCGUCCGCCCCUGCCGCCUCCCGCGCGCUGCCUGCCACCCGGCCGGGAGCGCCUUCCUCACGGACGCCCUCGCUCGGCCCCGGCCGCCUUACCCAGGGGGUCGUGGCGGAGUAGGGCGUGCGUGUAGUCGUUCACCGUCCGCGGGAACGGGUACAGAGGGCCUCCGAAGCCACCGGGGCCGUAGGCGGCGGCCAGCGCGGCGGCGGGGUGGUGCGAGAAGGCGGGGUGGACCGGCGUGGGCUCGUACACCGGGGUCCGGUAGGAGGACACGAGGCUGGUGAAGGAGGAGUUGGGGGACGGCAGCGUGGGAGUGGGCGUGGGGGCGGCGGGCCCGCGACCCAGGAUGUCGUCGAUGUAGAAGGGUGUCGGGUGAGCCGGCUGCAGCAGCGGCGUGGGCGCGUACAGCGGGACUCCCACGGCGGGCGCAGCCGCGGGCCCCGGGUGCGGGAACUGCAUGGCUCGGACUCGGAGCCCCUCGGAGAGAGCUGCCCGCCGGCGCCGCCGCGGCUACAUUUAUUUGUGCUCUGCGCUCCAGGCGAUAGGCUCGGGCAGCCGCGGGGUGGGGCCGCGCUCGGUCCCCUUCCUGCCGCCAAGCCCUGCGGCCAAUGGCGCGGGCCUCGGACUCGCCUCCGCCCCCCCUCCGCCCCCGCUCCGACCCGCCCCCGCCGGCCCAGCUCCCGCCCCCCGAGACGCUCCGGUGGCCGAGCUCCAGAGACCCUCUGCCGGGGUGCUCCUCCGCCGCAGGGGCUCCCAGAGGCUCAAGCAUUUAGAGAGAGUCGCUGCGACCGUCGAAGAGGAGAACACGCGGCAGGCGCCUGGGGGUGGGGGGGCGCGGAUCGCAGCGGGAUGGCGCCACUGCUGAAACUCCGGCAGCCUCUGGCACCUGGAGAAGCGAUGGGACUCUGCGGGCGGCAGGACGGCACCUGCGGGCGCCAGAGCCACCUCCCAGGAGGCUGCGCUUCUUGGGGGUAACGGUGGCACUGUUUAGAACGGGAGGGGGGGGGGCCUCGGCAGCUCGGAGCUCCAGGAGAAGACCCUAGCGGUUGACUGCGUCCCAGACCGGUCCUGACAGCUCCGGUUGCAGCUGCCACGGGACUGAAGGUGAAAGAGAAAACUGGUAGCCAGAGGACCUGGGUCCGAGUUUCACUUCGAAUAUUAUUUUCUUGAGCAACUAACAACUGUGCGUCAUUAACAAAUGAGAGCGACAGCCUGUGCCCUGGUGGAAGCAGGAAGCGAACACAGUAACCUAUAGACGAGGGAGAAAUCGUGUGUAAGGGUCGGAAACCCUAGGGAGCUCCAGCCCCUCGUUUGGGGUAAAGGAGAGAGUCACUUCGAGAAAGGGAAAGUCUUCCGAAAGGAAAUAAUGUUUGAAAGAUAAGUAGGUGUCAACGAGCCUAGGGUGUGAGGAGUGACUCCAAGCGCUUGAGUUCAGUCUGGGUCAGUUUAUUGCCCUGGGCUUUUCUCACCUGACCCAUUUGGGACUUGACAUAAAGGUUCCAAACUGCUCGGGAAUGGAGUCACUGGCAUCUAUCAGAAUAAUGACAGACAAAAGCCACUAGCACAGACAAACCAGUGAGUGCGAGAAGCGCUGGUAUUUGAAUUAAAACCUUGGGGGGCUAGUAAGGAUACAUCUCCGUGUGUUCGCUCUGUUAUGGGAACCAUAGAAGGAAAGCAAGUUUAACUUCGGACAGGACUGGAAAGAGAGCAGACUUCCGAAUAACUGGAGAACUGAACCUUGUGAGGUUUCAGGUGAGCACAAAGACAUCUUGGCCAGACACCUUGAGAAGACAAUAGACUGCUUGAAGGGGCUUCCGGUGGGCAAACCCCGGGUUAUUUAAGCCUUGAAAAUUAUGUCGUCGUCGUCGAGGGGCUAGCCUGGCCACCUGAGCUUGGAUCCACGGAAGACAUGGUGGAAGGAAGAACCGAUUCCACAGUUACCCUCUGCUUGCCAUCCCGCCUUAUACGCAACAGUUGAGAAGAUACAUAGUAAAUUAUGCUAUUUCUGAGUCCAUUGAACUCACGGGAAACACAGGAGUGGUGGGUGGGAAAACUGGAAGAGGCCAGUGAGGUGGCUCAGCCUAUGGGAGAUUGUCUCCCUAAUGCUGCAAACUGUAAGGACUCAAGGUCAAACUUCCGACCACACAUGGGGAGGGGGGAGGGAUGGAAAGAGAGACAUCUGUAGCCCCAUAGCUGGAGUGCCCAAAACACACAUCAGACACAAUAACUAUGAGAUACUUUUUAGUGUAGAAAGUUUUAUUGGUUCAGGAAAGACUCGUUAGACACACAGGUAUUGAGUGAAACAUUGAAGAUGAGGAUUCCGGCAAGCUCUUACAGAAUUAAGGCAGUUCUUUGGGGGUAAAAAUCGGAAUAAAUAUGAAUUGUGCAUAGCUGGCAAUAUUUCACUGGUAUACUGUUAGGUGUGAUUUUGAUCUUGUGUGUUACAAAUUGGAAACGGACAACUAAGAUGCAAACUGAAGCAUUUUAAGAAUGUGGGCCAUGACACCUGUGACCUUCGAGUACCUCAUUCUACAAAGCGUGUAGUUACUCAUAAGUACACAGCUGCAAAGGUAUACAUCUGUACACAUCAAGAAGGGAGUAAACCAAGCGUUGCAGAAUGCUAAUUGGUGAGUUGAGGUGAAGAACGUACAGGUUUCUGUUGUGUUGUAGUCUUAACUGCACGGUAGCUUUCAAAGUUUUCAGUAUACAAACUAGAAAGGAAGAAGUCUAAGUUUGUAUGUUAAAAUAAUUAAAGCUCUGGGUCAGAGAUGGCUCAAUGGAUAAA